RNAcentral lists this ribosomal RNA (402 nucleotides) under uncultured Acaulospora. RNAcentral's name for it is "SSU rRNA". It matches the Rfam family "Eukaryotic small subunit ribosomal RNA", at positions 569 to 975 of the family's 1831-position model. Lineage: Eukaryota; Fungi; Glomeromycota; Glomeromycetes; Diversisporales; Acaulosporaceae. The record is from RNAcentral.
AGCAGCCGCGGUAAUUCCAGCUCCAAUAGCGUAUAUUAAAGUUGUUGCAGUUAAAAAGCUCGUAGUUGAAUUUCGGAAUCUGUCCAUCGGUCGGGCUUCAUUGUCCGUACUGGUGUGGUGGGUUCUUACCUUCUGAAUAACCAGCAUGCCAUUCACUUGGUGCGCUGGGGAAGCAGGACUAUUACCUUGAAAAAUUAGAGUGCUCAAAGCAGGCUAGUGCCUGAAUACAUUAGCAUGGAAUAAUAAAAUAGGACGGCAUGGUUCUAUUUUGUUGGUUUCUAGGAUCACCGUAAUGAUUAAUAGGGAUAGUUGGGGGCAUUAGUAUUCAAUUGUCAGAGGUGAAAUUCUUGGAUUUAUGAAGACUAACUUCUGCGAAAGCAUUUGCCAAGGAUGUUUUCAUUA